CCUGCCGUCUCACCUCAGGGAUGGGAAGAGGUCCUCUUCCACCAACACGCGGUGACCUGAAGCUAUCGAUUUUUUGCCAGGGACCUCCCCAUUCCCCACAGGGCUCGGGAAGUCACCCUGUUCACUCAUCACCCUGGUCAACAGCCGUCCUUCUCUUGCAAGGGUAAGCCUGGGAAGAGGGUACUACAACGAAAACCCUUUAAAGGAUUAUCUUAUCUUACAGACACACACUCCAGCAGCCAGAAUCCAAAGCAAAUAAAACAUGUGCCAUCCUGAAGUCCUUUCACAGGAGAGAGGAAUCCCACUGAGGCAAGCAAGGAAAGCAGUGUAAAAGAGGUGGGAACAUGUGCUGUGGGCCUGGAGAGACGAGUGGGCGUCCAGCCAGUGGAGGGGAGGUAUAAAUCAAGGCAGCUGCCUGGGAAGCCCAAACAGGGCAGGAGAGGAGGAGAUGGUCUGUGCACCCGAGAGUGUCAAGCCAAGGUGGGCCUUCCCUGAAUGACAGCAGGGCGGCAGCCAUGGAAUAUUUGCGAGAAAAGCAGUGACCUGAUGAGAUGUAGUGAAGUCAGUAGGAAAACAGCAUAGUGAAUGUGAAAUGGCCUUAGAUUUAAGAUUUGACUCUGGCUUCAAGAAUCUGUGUGUGGAAAGAGAGAAGGUGCAGGGAAGGCAGGAGAGAGGAGAGGGGAAGAAGGCAGAGAGAGAUGGAGAGAGGAGAAAGAAAGCCAGGGAGAGGUGUCCUGAAGACAGAAAAGAGAAGAGAAAGAAAUGUGAGUGAUCAACCAAGCCAGGGAGGGUUUUGAAGUCGGACCAUUCAUCAAGUUUGGGCCUUUCGGUGGGAAAGGGGAGGUGAGGCUUGCCCAGCUAACCAAGGCCCUGUCUGCAGGUGUGAAACCCUCCCUGAGCUCCCCUCUGGCCAGGACGCCAGGUGAGCCCUGGGGAGCCCAGGCCACUUGGGUGAGUGGCUCUUAUGGAAAGAAGGCAAGAGAUUGUAAAGAGCAGGACCAUAUCUGCUGUUCGAAAUGCAUUUCAUUGCCCAGGUGGGACUGACAGCCCUGGGGAUGCCCUGGAGCAGAGAAAUUGUCAGAGGGGAAGGUGCUAGAAGGUGAUAAUUGCUGGGCACAUGGAAUCUGAAUCCACCCCAGCGCCAGCUUCUGGGCUUCAACCAACACAGUCAGCUUCGGAAAGAAUUAGGUCUGAGUUCGCUGGUUGUUCACACUCAGAAACGGAAGCGGAAAAACUUUCAUACAUCUGGUUCUCCCGGCACAAAACCCCCACCCUGUGCGCCGGGAGGCCGUUUAGUAAUGUUAUGGCUCCAUCUACAGCCUGCGGAAGGAUGCUCGCCGCCAGGCUUCCACAAACAGCCGGCCGGCACUGCAAUUAAUGCUAAUUAAAGCCCUUGCCCCCGUCUGCGCCUUUAUCCAACGCAGACUUGGAACUUCGCUGGAAGUUGUUUCAGGCUGAGUCUACAACAGCAGCUGUUCAGAUUAUUCCAGAACCCUUUCAGCCAAAAUUGGUUGGGAGUUUCUAUUUUAAACCCCCGAUUGUUAUGAAUUGCGUUAAAUGUCUUUUUUUCCCCACUCCCUCCACCAGGUUUUAACAAUGGAACAAAGAUGAAAACCCUCAAAAUAGCAAGAUGGCCUUUUCUUUCAUUCAUUCAAGGGAACACUCAGCACCUUCUUUGAGUCAGGUUCCAUGGUAAAGCACAGAGGUAGGUGAGGUAUGAAAACAUCCCGUAACUGACCCAUAAGAACUUUUGAUACUUCCUCUUGUUGGCUGGAACGUUUCCACAUAGGUCAAAAAGAGGAAAGGAGAAAGUCCCAGGUCGCCAGUGGUUGUAGAGCUUGGAACAACCUCCAUAUACAGAGAACAUAAAGUCCUUUGACUCAGGACAAAAUGGAAGCUGAAAGUUCCUUAAAGAGGCUGCCUAAUUGACACUCUCAUCAGUCACCAAUAAAAGGGAAGGCGUGGCAGAAGACUCGAGGAUGUCAGAAAGAAGCACAACCUGAGUAGAGGUGAGGCAGAGACCAGGGUUGCCCAAGGUCAUGGCAAGAGACGAGGUGGAGGGAGCCCUCCCUUUCUGACUGCUGGCUCAGUGGUCAGUCCACGCUGACCAAAAGAGGCUGCUUGUACUAUGCAAGUAAAAUAUGAACGCCCAGGUUGUUGGGGAGCAAGAAGACACUCCGAAUACGAGGUGGAAAGGGGGAGCCGGGAGCAGGAGAAACCGGACUUCCCUUUUAUGUGUUGCUUCAUGCCUCUGCUGGUGAACAGCAGGAGGAGAGAGAAAUGGCUGACUCCAAACCCACAGUUCCUGCCCUGGAGUGAAAUAAAAUACUCCGAGGCUGGUGUUUCAAUUGGUGCAAGAUUCUGAAGAGAGCCGAACACUCCCUCUUCCUUUUUGGGACAUGAAUUCCCCAGCUGAAAAAAUGCAUCACUUGGCCUUACCUGCCCUACUCCAUCACCACCUCCUUCUCAGGGAUGUCGUGACAAAGAGGUUUGUUUUGAUGUCUGAGGCGAAGAGAUCUUCCCAGGAGGAGGCCGAGGGAACACUCAGGCGAAAUGGCACCCUACCCUCAUGUCAACAGCCUCUCGAUUUAGCUGAUGACCGUUUUUGUCUCAUCCAAGAAAACUUCAGAGUCGGUCUAUGCACCCACUCUCCCAACCCACCCAGCCAGCCAGGAUGCUCUUCUGGAGCUAGCCCAGCUGACAGAAUCAGAGCAAACCACCCCCUGGAGGACACUCCGGAGGUCAUCGCAGCCAGCCCCCUGCCUCCAGGCAGGUCUCCCAUAAAUCGUCCUCGACAGAGACUGCCUCGUUGGAGGCCCUUUGCUCGGAGCACCCUGAGCAGCUGAGUAAAGUUUUGUGCUGACUCCGUAGAGCCCCAUCGGUGGCAGCACCCGCCGCCAGCUCAUAAGGGAAUCAUUAGUGAAACGCAGCCCUGUGCGAGGGCCCGAAGGCCUGUGGCAAUUAAUCACCUCUCCUCCCUGGCAGCCCCAGCUGUCUCAGAUGCAGCCAUCCUCCAGGUAGCCCUUUAAUUGUCCCUGGAGAAGGCAGAUGGGUGAGGGGCCACCUGAGCUCACGUUAGCCCAGCAAUCUUCCCAAAUAAAAAGAAA
Long non-coding RNA from Bos taurus (domestic cattle), 3107 nucleotides. The record is from Ensembl. NCBI's taxonomy places the organism in Eukaryota, Metazoa, Chordata, Mammalia, Artiodactyla, Bovidae.